UGAUGAGGCAGGUGUGGAAGUUAGCUCUCUCCUAUGCAAAACAGGCCAUUGCAAGCAGAAGCACAACUUCAAGUUGCUGUAUAACAUUGAUCCCCAAUUUCAGCCUAAGAGCUGUGAUUACUGAGAUGAAAUGAGCAGUAUCACUUGAGUAGCAACAAUUGGAUAGAUGGUGAGUUUCAACUGCCAGUGGAUGAAAACCAAGAUGACACAAAGGACUGAGAUCAAAAGCUUAGAAACUUCCAGACCUUCUUUUGAUAGGACUUUUUACUGAGAACAAUGUUAUUUCCUGACAUGUAAUGGUUUGCUUUUAUAACUGUGGCUCCUAAUUUCAGCUUUACCUCCUGGAACAUAUUUUGUGUCUAGUAGUUUGCAGCAAUAUGGCUUCAACAGUGCUGUUUUAACCUAAAAUCUAUCUUAACAGAGUUUUGUUUAUGGUGAUGUAUUACCUCAGGCUUAAUUGUAUCAUAUUCAGUUUGGGAUUCUGAAACAUGAUGCACGUCACCUAUGUACAGUUAAUCUAAGUCAGUUUGAUAGUUCAUCAGCAAUUAGAAAACAGAAGGCUAUAGGCCUACAUGUAUAUUAAACAAGUGAGUGAUGCAAGUAUGAAGCAAUGUCACCAUAGCAACUCAGCUUGCACAUAGGAUGCUGUAUUUAACCUUGGGGAGCUCUUAAAACUCUUCAUUCCUGAAAUAGCUAAGCACUAUGCUGUAAUGGAGAUGUAUCUUUGGUGCUAUAACAGUAGAUUUGUCUUAGAAAUGUGCAAAUUCUUUGGCCCAAUAUAAUUUUUGACUAAGAAACCAAUAGGAUAUGAGCAUUCAAACUGACGUUGCUGAUGGAAAUCAUGACUUGCUGUUAUAAAUGUGCAAGAUCACUUGCUCUUUUUGGAAGUGGGAGGGAGCUGUCUGUAGAUCUUAUUGCAGUAUGAUGGAAGCAUCUUAGCAGGAAAAUAUUUUCAGGAAUUGCUGUUGGAUUUUUAAUCCAUUUUCCUCUUGCUAAUACUCACACACCUGUGGUUUGUACCCUUGUAUCUGUACAGUUACUGUGAAUUUUAUCAGGAAAAGGACAAAAAAUAUAUUUACUCUUGUGCUUAUCUUGCAGGUUUGAAUUUUCCAGCUCCUAGCAAAUUAGCCAUUUAGACUAUAUUAAUUAGAAAUGUGGAU
Molecule: long non-coding RNA, 1160 nt
Filed under: Anas platyrhynchos platyrhynchos (common mallard)
Lineage: Eukaryota; Metazoa; Chordata; Aves; Anseriformes; Anatidae
Description: lncRNA (ENSAPLG00000026802.1)
Source: RNAcentral